UACUGUUUUCCGGCGACGGAUAUCGGAGAGGAGCUCUUUGUGUCCUCGUCGAAAAUUCUCGUUGGCGAAUUCCCAUUUGUCUGGCACGAUCUUUCGAAAGCCAUAGGUAUUGAGUUGACGAACAAAGCUAGAGAAGUUGUUGUGCUUGAAGUAAUUAGGAAGCAAAUCCUUGGCAAAAUCUGCAGUUUUCCAAACCACAAAAGUGGUGCCAGUUUCAUUCCAGGAAAUCACAUCA
This 235-nucleotide unclassified non-coding RNA is filed under the name Hevea brasiliensis (rubber tree). Lineage: Eukaryota; Viridiplantae; Streptophyta; Magnoliopsida; Malpighiales; Euphorbiaceae. The record is from RNAcentral.